GCCUCAGUAGAGACUAAAGCCCCUUUCCGACUGUAGGGACCUUUUGCAGUUCCUAUGACCUUUUCAGGAACCUGGCCGUUUUUUCAGCGUA
Molecule: long non-coding RNA, 91 nt
Organism: Melanotaenia boesemani (Boeseman's rainbowfish)
Lineage: Eukaryota; Metazoa; Chordata; Actinopteri; Atheriniformes; Melanotaeniidae
Exons: 3
Source: RefSeq, a predicted model, not a curated record